This 68-nucleotide transfer RNA is filed under the name Chordodes sp. VVA-2019. Its description in RNAcentral is "tRNA-Glu". The record is from RNAcentral. Lineage: Eukaryota; Metazoa; Nematomorpha; Gordioida; Chordodea; Chordodidae.
UUCUAUUUAAUAUAAUUUAUAUUAUUUAAAUAUUUCAAAUUUAACAUAUUCACUAAGAAUAAUAGAAU